This 356-nucleotide long non-coding RNA is filed under the name Carica papaya (papaya). RNAcentral describes it as "long non-coding RNA (CPAP_LNC011087)". Lineage: Eukaryota; Viridiplantae; Streptophyta; Magnoliopsida; Brassicales; Caricaceae. The record is from RNAcentral.
UAUUUCUUUAUUUAUGUGUUAUCCUUGUUUAUGUUCACUUGAAAGUUCUUAUCUUUAAUUGUGGAGUGAUCAAGUUAAUUUAUCCCAUUGUGCUUUAAGUGAUCAAAUUUAAUCUCUUUAUAAAAAAAAUUCAAUUGCUCAAUUCAGUUAGCAUAAAUUACUUGUUCAAUUGUAAAUUCUUAUCUUUGAUUGAUCAAGUUAAGUCACUAUUAUUUCAAGUGUCCAAAUUUAAGCCUUUUCAUCACAUUAAGGUAUAUUUUCCCACUCUUUUCCAUAAUAAAUUCAAUGUGCAUCCAUUCAUACAAAUCACAUUAACAUUAAACUAAAUCAACAUAUUAGAGUGUAGCCUUAAUUAG